AGUAGAGAAGGUAGGCAGUGCUUGCAAAGGCCUGAGUCUGAGGUACUUCUUUAUAGCACUGCAAGAAUGGACUAAUACGCUAUGUGAAGACAAAGGGGAUGUCUGCAAGCCAGGACGAGUGCGUCUACCAGAAACUGAGUUCUGCUGGACUUUGAUCUAGGACAUCCAGCCUCCAGAAUGGAAUGUGCCAUAUGUGGAGACCUGCAUGGAAAGGAACUGAGGAUGCUCUCUCACUAAAAGCUAGAAGGAACUGAGGCCCUCAGUCAACAGUCUACAAGACACUGAAUCUUGCCAGCAGCCAAGCAGUGAGCUUGAAAGCAGAUCUAUCAUCAGCUGAACCUUCAGAUGAGACCGCAGCCUAAGCAGAUACCUUGGUUGCAGCCAUGUGAGACAACCUGAAACAGAGGGCACAGCUAAGCCUCAGCCAGGUUCAUGACCCUCUGAGGAAACUGUGAGAAAGCAAAUGUCAUUUUAAGCUAUUUAAUUUUGGAGGUAGUUUAUUACACAACAAUAAAUAACUAUUAUAAUUAUCUUGAGGAUUUAUUUCCUGGGGAGAAUACAUGGAAUUGCAUAUAUAGGUCCUCAUAUGCAGAAUACUGGUACCCUAGAGAUGUUCACCCCAGAGAUGUUUUAGGAACCUGUGAAUAUGUUACAUUAAAUGGCAAAGUUUUCCUGGAUGGUUUAAGUUUAAGAUGGAAAAGUUUUACUGGAUUAUCCAGUGGGUCCAAUCUAGUAACAUGAGUCCUUAAAAAUGGAGAAUAUUUUUUGGCCAUGAUCAGAGAGACAUGUGAUGAUGGAAAAAGUGUCAGAGAUGCAAUGUGAGGGGACUAAAACUGCUGUUGCUGACUUUAAAGAUGGAGAGAGGGGAACCCGAGUCAAGGAAUGCAAAUGGCCUCUGGAAGCUGGAAAAAGCAAGAAAUGGAUUCUCCUUUAGAGCCUGUGGAAUAAAAUGCAGUCAUGCUGACACCUUGAUUUUACCUCAGUGAGACCAAUACUGGAGUAUGACCUUCGGAGCUGAGUGACCCAAGGCAAACUUACAAAAAGAAGCACAUGGCAUGUGGAAAGAAGAGAAGAUUCAAAAUCAGUAGUCAGGAUUUGAGCCUCUUCUCUUCUGCUUUCUAGCUGAAAAAUGUCGAACAAAGAAUUCAACAUUACUUUUCUGAGCCUCUCUUUCCUCUUCUAUGGAAUGGAAGUAAUAAAAUAUCUACCUCCCAGAGUUGUAGUUCAGACCCAACACAUAUAUUUUUAGUGCUCUAUCAUAUGUUAGUUUCUGAACUUUGCUCUUUCUCAGGAAGCAUCCCACUGAAUUAAAAACAUCUGUUGAGUUAAAUACUAUUGUCUCUUCAAUCAAAUGGAGAAAUUGAGGCUAAUGAAGAUAAAGAGCCUUGUUCCAUUUCAUACAUCUAGAAGUAGAAGAGCUGGUAUUAAAAAUCCUACCUGUUGGACUUUAUAUCAGGUGCUCUUUUCCCAAACUACAGCUGCUUUAUAAAGAAGCAAAUGAUAAUUUUUAAAACAACACAAUAGCAAAGCCAUGGAAUCAACUCAGUUUCCCAUCAACUGUGGAUUGGAUAAAGAAAAUGUGGUACAUGUAUAUCAUGGAAUACUAUGCAGACAUAAAGAAGAACAAAAUCGUGGCUUUUGCAGCAACAUGGAUGCAGCUGGAGGCCAUUACUCUGAGUGAACUAACGCAGAAACAGAAAACCAAAUACCCUUUGUUCUCCCUAAUAAGUGGGAGCAAAACGAUGGUACACGUGGACAUACAGAUGGGAACAGCAGACACUGCGGACAAUUAGAGAGGGGAGAGAGGGAGGAGGGCAAGGGUUGAAAAAUGACACAUUUUAUUACCUGGGUGAUGGAUUCAUUUGUACUCCAAACCUCAACAUCACUCAGUAUACCUUUAUAACAAAUCUACACAUGCACCCUCCGAUUCGAAAAUAGAAGUUGAAAAAAACUGUAUUUUCUCUAAAAAAUUUUGCUUAUGUACUAGUUGGUGCCCUUCAAGUGGGAAAAAUCCAUGCCUGCUGAACUGUCACCUCUUUUUUUUUUGGAGGGCUUCUAUUUUUCAAGUGCCCUGUGUCUUCUUGGGCUUGUUUUUUAUUCUAGACAAAAUGCUUCCACACACUGGGGGCUUUACCUGGCCUGCUCAUGAAGGCAUCAUCUGGGUCCAAACUCCUUAUUGGCUACUUAUCAAAAUGGAUCUUUCUCUGCUCUUCUUUUGCAUUAGAUUCUUGCUAAGAACCUAGAAUUUGCCUGAUAGAUUGACUUACCCUAAAGUUAAAAAGGCUUUUAUUAGCUUAUUUUAUGGCUCUAUAUUGUGUAUUUCCUUUUAAACAGAGGUUCCUUAGAGACUCAAUUCCUUAAUCCAGCAUUUCUUAAGUUUGCUUUUGGGAAGGUUAGUACAAGAAGAUGGUCUCUUUAAAAAUAAUUCUUGAGAAUCACUAUACUGGUUAACAUAUUAAAAGAACCAAGGAGUCCUACAGAUUUUUAAAAAGCCUUUGCUUAUUGAUACUCUUUGGUUUGACUGCCAAUUCUCUUUUUGUGGAUCAUCUGCUAAUAUCUAAUAAAUUUAGCAUGACACAGAACAAAUGUUGAGAAACAGUCAAUAAAAAACUGUCUUUGUGAAAA
This is a long non-coding RNA of Homo sapiens (human), 2625 nucleotides long. Ensembl annotates it as long intergenic non-protein coding RNA 1748. Lineage: Eukaryota; Metazoa; Chordata; Mammalia; Primates; Hominidae. The record is from Ensembl.